GGUGGAGUCAGAUAGUGAUACAGAAUGAGCAGCAAGAACAGGUUUUAGUACAGUAAAAGAAACUGCUGGAGCCAAAUACCAAAGAAAACGUGCAACUUCAGGACAGCGGAACAUAAUACAUGGGAGGCAGAGAUCUAGCUCGAAACAUGGGAAAUAUCUUACAAUAUUGUCUCCAGAUGAGAUCCUCAAAAAGAUGUCAUGCUAUACAGU
This is a long non-coding RNA of Protopterus annectens (West African lungfish), 210 nucleotides long. RefSeq lists it as uncharacterized. The record is from RefSeq and is a predicted model, not a curated record. The transcript is spliced from 3 exons. NCBI's taxonomy places the organism in Eukaryota, Metazoa, Chordata, Ceratodontiformes, Protopteridae.